GGAAGGGAUGUAUUUAUUAGAUUAAAAACCAAUGCCCUUCGGGGCUCUCUGGUGAUUCAUAAUAACUUCUCGAAUCGCACGGCCUUGCGCCGGCGAUGGUUCAUUCAAAUUUCUGCCCUAUCAACUUUCGACGGCUGGGUCUUGGCCAGCCGUGGUGACAACGGGUAACGGAGGGUUAGGGCUCGACCCCGGAGAAGGAGCCUGAGAAACGGCUACUACAUCCAAGGGAGGCAGCAGGCGCGCAAAUUACCCAAUCCCGACACGGGGAGGUAGUGACAAUAAAUACUGAUACAGGGCUCUUUCGGGUCUUGUAAUUGGAAUGAGUACAAUUUAAAUCCCUUAACGAGGAACAAUUGGAGGGCAAGUCUGGUGCCAGCAGCCGCGGUAAUUCCAGCUCCAAUAGCGUAUAUUAAAGUUGUUGAGGUUAAAAAGCUCGUAGUUGAACCUUGGGCCUAGCCGGCCGGUCCGCCUCACCGCGUGCACUGGCUCGGCUGGGUCUUUCCUUCUGGAGAACCGCAUGCCCUUCACUGGGUGUGCCGGGGAACCAGGACUUUUAC
This 557-nucleotide ribosomal RNA is filed under the name uncultured fungus. Its description in RNAcentral is "SSU rRNA". It matches the Rfam family "Eukaryotic small subunit ribosomal RNA", at positions 194 to 755 of the family's 1831-position model. Lineage: Eukaryota; Fungi. The record is from RNAcentral.